Long non-coding RNA from Poecile atricapillus (Black-capped chickadee), 319 nucleotides. RefSeq lists it as uncharacterized. NCBI's taxonomy places the organism in Eukaryota, Metazoa, Chordata, Aves, Passeriformes, Paridae. The transcript is spliced from 3 exons. The record is from RefSeq and is a predicted model, not a curated record.
CCGCAGAGGGCCUGGACAAGUGGAGGAAGCGCGCGGGCGACAACGGGCGUUGUCCUUGGCUGACGAGUGUAUUGGGGUGCUGCCCUCUUUCCCUGGUGGCACUACUACGAUCUUCGGAAAGAUCAUCGGCAAGGCGGUUCAGCGGUACUGUCAGCGACGAGGACUAGGAGUGCUGUGCGUUCCAUGAUCUUUCGCCCCUAGAUGCGAUGCUUUUCCUAGUCAUGCCUAAGGAGCCAAUUAUCAAGUUUUCUGAAGCAGGAAGUUCUGGUGAAUCUCUUCUUGGGCAUGUAAUGAUUGUUGGCGAGAUGUGUGUUGCUCA